Molecule: microRNA, 22 nt
Filed under: Sarcophilus harrisii (Tasmanian devil)
Lineage: Eukaryota; Metazoa; Chordata; Mammalia; Dasyuromorphia; Dasyuridae
Also listed under: 2 other names
Description: Sha-Mir-15-P1c_3p* (star (passenger))
Source: RNAcentral
CAAACCAUCGUGGGCUGUUACA